UACGAAGGCGGCUAGCGUUGCUCGGAAUGACUGGGCGUAAAGGGCGCGUAGGCGGUUCACACAGUCAGGCGUGAAAUUCCUGGGCUUAACCUGGGGGCUGCGUUUGAUACGUGUGGGCUUGAGGGUGGAAGAGGCUCGUGGAAUUCCCAGUGUAGAGUUGAAAUUCGUAGAUAUUGGGAAGAACACCGGUGGCGAAGGGGGCGAGCUGGUCCAUUUCUGACGCUGAGGCGCGAAAGCGUGGGAGCAAACAGG
RNAcentral lists this ribosomal RNA (252 nucleotides) under uncultured bacterium. Its description in RNAcentral is "partial 16S ribosomal RNA". It matches the Rfam family "Bacterial small subunit ribosomal RNA", at positions 524 to 776 of the family's 1533-position model. The record is from RNAcentral.